GAUGAACGCUGGCGGCGUGCCUAAUACAUGCAAGUCGAGCGAACAGACGAGGAGCUUGCUCCUCUGACGUUAGCGGCGGACGGGUGAGUAACACGUGGAUAACCUACCUAUAAGACUGGGAUAACUUCGGGAAACCGGAGCUAAUACCGGAUAACAUGUUGAACCGCAUGGUUCAACAGUGAAAGACGGUCUUGCUGUCACUUAUAGAUGGAUCCGCGCCGCAUUAGCUAGUUGGUAAGGUAACGGCUUACCAAGGCAACGAUGCGUAGCCGACCUGAGAGGGUGAUCGGCCACACUGGAACUGAGACACGGUCCAGACUCCUACGGGAGGCAGCAGUAGGGAAUCUUCCGCAAUGGGCGAAAGCCUGACGGAGCAACGCCGCGUGAGUGAAGAAGGUCUUCGGAUCGUAAAACUCUGUUAUUAGGGAAGACCAAAUGUGUAAGUAACUAUGCACGUCUUGACGGUACCUAAUCAGAAAGCCACGGCUAACUACGUG
This 497-nucleotide ribosomal RNA is filed under the name uncultured bacterium. Its description in RNAcentral is "partial 16S ribosomal RNA". It matches the Rfam family "Bacterial small subunit ribosomal RNA", at positions 28 to 507 of the family's 1533-position model. The record is from RNAcentral.